RNAcentral lists this unclassified non-coding RNA (432 nucleotides) under soil metagenome. RNAcentral describes it as "partial contains 5.8S ribosomal RNA, internal transcribed spacer 2, and large subunit ribosomal RNA". The stretch from base 1 to 120 matches the Rfam family "5.8S ribosomal RNA", at positions 35 to 154 of the family's 154-position model. The record is from RNAcentral.
GAUGAAGAACGCAGCGAAAUGCGAUACGUAAUGUGAAUUGCAGAAUUCAGUGAAUCAUCGAAUCUUUGAACGCAUAUUGCGCUCUCUGGUAUUCCGGAGAGCAUGCUUGUUUGAGUAUCAGUAAACACCUCAACUUCCAUAUCUUUUUUGAAAUGGGAGUUGGACUUGAGUGAUCCCAACGCUUUUCCUCACCGAAAAGUGGCGGGUUACUUGAAAUGCAGGUGCAGCUGGACUUUUCUCUGAGCUAUAAGCAUAUCUAUUUAGUCUGCCUAAAAAACAUAUUAUUACCUUUGCUGCAGCUAACAUAAAGGAGAUUAGUUCUUGUGCUGACUGAUGCAGGAUUCACAAAGACGGCUUCGGCCGACUUUGUAAACUCGAUCUCAAAUCAAGUAAGACUACCCGCUGAACUUAAGCAUAUCAAUAAGCGGAGGA